GACGAACGCUGGCGGCGUGCUUAACACAUGCAAGUCGAACGGAAAGGCCCUGCAUUUGUGGGGUGCUCGAGUGGCGAACGGGUGAGUAACACGUGAGUAACCUGCCCUUGACGUUGGGAUAACUUCAGGAAACUGGGGCUAAUACCGGAUAGGAGCUCCUGCUGCAUGGUGGGGGUUGGAAAGUUUCGGCGGUUGGGGAUGGACUCGCGGCUUAUCAGCGUGUUGGUGGGGUAGUGGCUUACCAAGGCUUUGACGGGUAGCCGGCCUGAGAGGCUGACCGGCCACAUUAGGCCUGAGAUACGGCCCAGACUCCUACGGGAGGCAGCAGUGGGGAAUAUUGCACACUGGGCGGAAGCCUGAUGCAGCAACGCCGCGUGCGGGAUGACGGCCUUCGGGUUGUAAACCGCUUUCGCCUGUGACGAAGCGUGAGUGACGGUAAUGGGUAAAGAAGCACCGGCUAACUACGUG
This 468-nucleotide ribosomal RNA is filed under the name uncultured bacterium. RNAcentral describes it as "partial 16S ribosomal RNA". It matches the Rfam family "Bacterial small subunit ribosomal RNA", at positions 28 to 507 of the family's 1533-position model. The record is from RNAcentral.